Nelumbo nucifera (sacred lotus) is the source of this 1475-nucleotide long non-coding RNA. RefSeq lists it as uncharacterized. The record is from RefSeq and is a predicted model, not a curated record. NCBI's taxonomy places the organism in Eukaryota, Viridiplantae, Streptophyta, Magnoliopsida, Proteales, Nelumbonaceae.
GUAUUCUGUACAUAGGCGGUUGAUCUGAAAAAUGAUAUUUCCAGUUAAUCAGAAGUGAUAAUCUCUGUUUCGGUUGAUUUUGUAGAGUAUGUUCUCUUCCUAUUAUUUUUGAAUUGCGAGUGUGUUUAUACUCGUUCUGGUAAUUAUGCGAUUAUAGGGGAAGGAGAAGAGAAUGAGUUUAAUGCAGCCCACUCGAACCUGAAGUAUAGUAAUUGAGAUUUCAUAUUACAUUUUGUUUUUGCUAAAUCUUGGAAAUACUAUUUAUUUUCCUGUUUUAUUUUGUUAAUUAGCUUCAGCCAUAGGGUUUGGGGUAUUAAAUGAGAUGUAAUAGGAUAAUAUGAGUGUUAUCUUUGGUCAGACCCAAUCUGGAGGCCUGACAACAAGUUGAUGAAUAAUUAGUAACGUUAUACAUUUAUGUUGUCCAAUGAUUAUUUGCAUUGAAAUUUCAAGGGUUUUGAUGAGUCUGUCGGUCUUCCUUCAUGCCCAUAACUGCGGCGUCAAUAAAUGUUCAUUCGGAAUCAAAGUUUGCCCGGUCUCCAAGUCUUAGCUAGGGCUUCCGAAGUUAGAAUACAUAUACAAAGUUGACUUUGAAGGGUAAUGUAUAAACAAAAAUAAAAGGUGAUGUAAAUAUAAAUAAAACAAUACACAUGCAUAUAGCGCUCAAACACAUAUGAGUGAAGACUAGAGGUUUCAUUAACAAUUACUAAUAUCCAUCACCACUCAAGGUUUCAAGCUUCUAAUAUUAUCAAUGCUGGUAGCAGUAAAUUUCUUCUAUAUCUUCAGGGGGAAUCCCUUUUCUGGCAAUCACAUUUGAGAGGUACCUUUUUCUAGAUCUUCAAAUGUGAGAAUGUGGGUUGAAGUCUGGGAGUGGCCACUUUAUCUGAAAAUGCAUUUAGAUCUUAUUUCCAAUCCACCAUCAAGGUUUCAUAAUUGAUGAUUCUAAUAUUGUCAAUGCUGGUAGCAAUAAAUUUCGUCUAGGCCUUCAAGGGGAGUGCCUUUUCUGGUGAUCACAUUGGAGAUGCACCUUUUUCUAGAUCUUCAAAUGUUGGAAUGUGGGUUUGAGCCCGAGAGUGGCCACUUUGUGUGAAAAUGCAUUUACGUCUUGUUUCCAGUCGACCCCUCCCAAAACUCCAGACAGUUGGGACCAACAUUGGGUGAUGCCAUGAUGGCAGUGUUUUUCUCCAUUCAGCAUAAGGAUUAAUUAAAAGUAAACAGCAGAUUAACGGAGACAUGGGCUUUUAACUUGUUGGAAGUCAUGCCUUAAAGACAAAAAUGGAUGAUAUUUAGUUUAAAAUUAUAAUGGGAGUGUAGUAUAGGCUGACGUUGAGUCAAUGCUUCUGCAUAGGUUAUGGAUGAUUUACCAGGCAUUUAUUGGGGGCAUGGUGUUCCAUUAUGUAUGUUUCUGCUGAUGGCAUUCUUGAUUGACAAAAUUUAGGGUGCAUGCAACUUGUUGUGGAAAAAUGCAUUAGAUUCAA